This 274-nucleotide ribosomal RNA is filed under the name uncultured bacterium. RNAcentral describes it as "partial 16S ribosomal RNA". It matches the Rfam family "Archaeal small subunit ribosomal RNA", at positions 473 to 747 of the family's 1478-position model. The record is from RNAcentral.
AAACCAGCACCUCAAGUGGUCAGGAUGAUUAUUGGGCCUAAAGCAUCCGUAGCCUGCUGUAUCAGUUUUCGGUUAAAUCCAUGUGCUCAACACAUGGGCUGCCGGGAAUACUGUACAGCUAGGGAGUGGGAGAGGUAGACGGUACUCGGUAGGAAGUGGUAAAAUGCUUUGAUCUCUCGAUGACCACCUGUGGCGAAGGCGGUCUACCAGAACACGUCCGACGGUGAGGGAUGAAAGCUAGGGUAGCGAACGGGAUUAGAAACCCCGGUAGUCC